RNAcentral lists this ribosomal RNA (543 nucleotides) under Aspergillus flavus. Its description in RNAcentral is "eukaryotic LSU rRNA". The stretch from base 164 to 317 matches the Rfam family "5.8S ribosomal RNA". The record is from RNAcentral. Lineage: Eukaryota; Fungi; Ascomycota; Eurotiomycetes; Eurotiales; Aspergillaceae.
GCGAGCCCACCUCCCACCCGUGUUUACUGUACCUUAGUUGCUUCGGCGGGCCCGCCAUUCAUGGCCGCCGGGGGCUCUCAGCCCCGGGCCCGCGCCCGCCGGAGACACCACGAACUCUGUCUGAUCUAGUGAAGUCUGAGUUGAUUGUAUCGCAAUCAGUUAAAACUUUCAACAAUGGAUCUCUUGGUUCCGGCAUCGAUGAAGAACGCAGCGAAAUGCGAUAACUAGUGUGAAUUGCAGAAUUCCGUGAAUCAUCGAGUCUUUGAACGCACAUUGCGCCCCCUGGUAUUCCGGGGGGCAUGCCUGUCCGAGCGUCAUUGCUGCCCAUCAAGCACGGCUUGUGUGUUGGGUCGUCGUCCCCUCUCCGGGGGGGACGGGCCCCAAAGGCAGCGGCGGCACCGCGUCCGAUCCUCGAGCGUAUGGGGCUUUGUCACCCGCUCUGUAGGCCCGGCCGGCGCUUGCCGAACGCAAAUCAAUCUUUUUCCAGGUUGACCUCGGAUCAGGUAGGGAUACCCGCUGAACUUAAGCAUAUCAAUAGCGGAG